GUUUCUAAAAUAUUGACGCGUGGAAUUGAAAUUCGGUUUGGUCGUAGAAUAUUGUGUUAAAAGUGCGGUUUUCUUAACAAAAUUAAAGAUUGUAAGUGGAAAAUAAUGUUAAGCAAAAGACAUACAAAACGUUUGAUGAAAAAAGAAUCCGAAAGAAUCAAACGCAUACUAACUAUUAAAAAAAAUGUUCGCGAAGUGCAAAUGCAGAGCGAACCUGCAAAUUGUGCCAAUGAAGACUUUAAAAUCUUUAAUACUCCACAAAAUAAAAAAUCAAUGAAUGCACAGCUAUGCGAUUGGUAUUUAAAAUUCCUACCUUCUCAUAAAUGCUGUAAAGAACUAUUGUGCAUUUCUUAUUUCGCAAAACAUGUGCGUUCCAAGGAGCGUUUCAGGAUUGAUUGACAAAAAUUCGCAAACUAUUGUACGCACCGUUUCUCGCGGCCAAUACAUCCACAUAGGAAUUGAAAAAUAUUGGAGUGGACGGAUUACCACUAUUUAAAAGUUCGUCAGUGGGCCGCUGAUAGCAACGGUAGAUCUUCUUUUGAAAAAUGGUGGCAUAGAGAAGAAAUUCGAUAGUAUAUUUUCUACAAACCUCAUUUUUGACUACAAUUUGGAAGGCAAACAGAAUAAGAAGAAAUUGCUAGAUUAUAGUAAGCUUAUGUCUGUUUUAUACGGUACACCGGAAAAUCAAAGCCUUGGCGAAAAAACGUUUCAUGACUCUUUACGAAAAGCAAUAAAGAAAUCGAAGAACCGUCAUUUUAAAAACCAAUGGAUUCAACAUAAAAAACCAAUGGAUUCAACAUAAAAAAAGUUUACAUCUACCGUUUUACUAUAUGUAAUAAUAACUUAAGCUUUAACGUUUCAUAAACAUUUAAUGUAUGAAUACAAAUUUAAUUUAAUUGUUUUAAGUUGUUGUAAUACUUUAAAACUAAUGUGCUCAUAACAUUUUUGACUCUUAACGAAAGACAUUAAAAGAGCGAAAACCCGCCAUUUUAAAAACCAAUGGAUUGAACAUAAACAAAAAAGUUUUCAUGUACAACUGUAUUACUGUACCUAAUAAUAACUUAAGCUUUAACGUUUCAUAAACAUUUAAUGUAUGAAUACAAAUUUAAUUUAACUUUUUUAAGUUGUAGUACUUUAACAGUAAUGUGCUCAUAACAGUUUUGACUUAACGAAAAGGAUUAAAAGAGCGAAAACCCGUCAUUUUAAAAACCAACGGGUUCGAAAUAAAAAAUGAGAAAUGGAAUUCUUUCAUCUUGUAAACGUUUACACUUUUGAUUGGUUUAUGAAAUCAUGUGACAUUUUGACCUGUAUUUGUCUUUUGUUUUUUUAUGUUUACUAUUUAUUAUAAAAGUUUGGCACAUUUAAUAACAAACACCAUAU
Molecule: long non-coding RNA, 1380 nt
Organism: Rhagoletis pomonella (apple maggot)
Lineage: Eukaryota; Metazoa; Arthropoda; Insecta; Diptera; Tephritidae
Exons: 4
Source: RefSeq, a predicted model, not a curated record